Molecule: transfer RNA, 84 nt
Filed under: Gemella bergeri
Lineage: Bacteria; Bacillati; Bacillota; Bacilli; Caryophanales; Gemellaceae
Also listed under: 4 other names
Description: tRNA-Tyr
Rfam family: tRNA
About the family: Transfer RNA (tRNA) molecules are approximately 80 nucleotides in length.
Source: RNAcentral
GGGGAGAUAGCGAAGAGGCUAAACGCGACGGACUGUAAAUCCGUUCCUUAGGGUUCAGUGGUUCGAAUCCACUUCUCCCCACCA